Dendroctonus ponderosae (mountain pine beetle) is the source of this 896-nucleotide long non-coding RNA. RefSeq lists it as uncharacterized. NCBI's taxonomy places the organism in Eukaryota, Metazoa, Arthropoda, Insecta, Coleoptera, Curculionidae. The record is from RefSeq and is a predicted model, not a curated record. The transcript has 2 exons.
GCAAAAAUUGACAUUAGUUUUAUUGAGAGCGCGCUGCGCGUGGUUCCCUUCAUACCAACGUUGACUGGACGGUGAAGGGCGCGUGAUCCCUUAAACUAAUAUAGAAUAGUACUGACACUACUGACACAUUGCAGCUGGAAAGUGACAUAAAUGACCGUUAAACCUCGCCGCCAGGCAAUUUCGAAAAAUAAAAUCGGUAAAUGGCAACAUUUUAUACCCAAACCAACACAAAGCGCGAUGGUAAAAGGUGACUUAGUUGGUGUAAGCACACAAGGUCGAUGGUUGUCACGUGACCGAAGAAUUACCUGAUAGUUGGAGACCAAUUUACCGGAUCUCCACGCUUCGACGGUAAACAGAGCGCCAACAUAGUCUGCACUUUACGAAAAUCCGCACUCACUACUGACACACUAAUCAACAAUUAUUUAAAAAAUAAACGGCGGUAUUUAUGAAUUUUAGCUCAAAUUCAUCAAAAGAAAAUGGGAAAGCUGCGGAAAAUGCAACUUUUCACUGACAGCGCUUGUCACUUUCAGCGCUCAACAAGAUCUGUUGAAAAAAUGUCAAAAUUCCGUAUUGUUGGCGGUCUUUGUCUGAUGAACAGCAAAAAGGCAAUUAAUGCAAUUGAAGGGAUAGUCAAAUUGAAUUGUUUAUUUCAGUUCAUGUUUUAUUCAGUAAUGUUUGCAAAUUAAUAGAAUAAGAAAUAAUGUUGACAGGUCAAACAAGAAAACUUUAAUUUAGGUUAGUAAUAGGAUUUUCGUUGUUAUAUUUUCAUUAAGUUUUCGUUUUUUCUUGCAACUAGGCCUGCGUAUAGAUAUAUGUUUAUCUCUGCAGGGUUUUACAGUUUUAUGUACAAUUUGCUGUAAAUCUUUACUAGUUAAAUAAAUUCAAAUUCAAAUUCA